AAUUUCAUUAUCAUAAGUCAUAACACAAAAGGAUACAAAUUUUCACAAAAAAAAAAAGAUACAAGAUUGGAAUACAUUAAUUAUCAAAAAAAAAAAAAAAGAUUGGAAUACAUUUGUGAAAUAUAAAACCAGCAAAUUCCAAACAUUUGGAGACUUCGCAACCAAUCAUCUACUGUAAAUCAUUUAGCUCACGGGAAAAAUCAAAACUCAGAUACUCCCAAAAUCACAUUUAUUAAAUGAAAUGGCCCACCUGUUUAGGUCACAUCAACGUAUAAAGGAUGUCAAAACAAAAUUUAAACAAGUGUCUAGGUGUUUCAGCUUUUUCGCACACGAAAUCUUGCGAAAACCUCUAUGAAUUACCUUAUUUCUUGAAUCAAUUAGGCAAACUAUUUAUUUUAAACCAAUUCCCCCAAAUUCGUAAACAGAGUUAUUAAGACGUUAAGUGAGUUAUAACAUGGCUAAUCCAAUUUAGUAAGUCAAUUAAUUUCGGUGAAAUAAAACAGAAUAUGAUGUCGUUUUAUGCUUCUUCCUCAUCAAUGAUUAGGGAAAAAAUAAAAUUAGGGUUCCUCGAUUUCAACAGAUGAGUGUGAGAUAAAAAGAGAGACGAGUGUGAGAGACGAGUAUAGCAAAACAUGAAUCUUGUUAUCUAAAGACGUUAUUUUCGAUUGGUGGACUGUGAAGAGACAAAAUUCAAGCUCUACCGUUGAGUCUUCAUUUGACCUACUAAAACAAGAAUAUUUGAGAAUUUCAUAGAAGAGAAUCAGUCACUUUACCUCGUCCUCGAGUUUUGUCUCUUCACAAUCCACCAAUCGAAAAUAACGUCUUUAAAUAACAAGACUUACGUUUUGCUCUACUCGUCUCUCACACUCGACUCUCUCUUUACCUUUUCACAAACACUUGACUCUCUCCUCUAUGGAAAUCGGGGAACCCUAAUUUUAUUUUUUUUC
This 947-nucleotide long non-coding RNA is filed under the name Brassica napus (rape). Its description in RNAcentral is "long non-coding RNA (BNAP_LNC018878)". The record is from RNAcentral. Lineage: Eukaryota; Viridiplantae; Streptophyta; Magnoliopsida; Brassicales; Brassicaceae.